UACGUAGGGUGCAAGCGUUGUCCGGAAUUAUUGGGCGUAAAGGGCUCGUAGGCGGUCCAUCGCGUCGGGAGUGAAAAGCUGGGGCUUAACCCCAGUCCUGCUUCCGAUACGGGUGGACUAGAGGUAGGUAGGGGAGAUCGGAAUUCCUAGUGUAGCGGUGAAAUGCGCAGAUAUUAGGAGGAACACCGGUGGCGAAGGCGGAUCUCUGGGCCUUACCUGACGCUGAGGAGCGAAAGCAUGGGGAGCGAACAGG
This 253-nucleotide ribosomal RNA is filed under the name uncultured bacterium. RNAcentral's name for it is "partial 16S ribosomal RNA". It matches the Rfam family "Bacterial small subunit ribosomal RNA", at positions 524 to 776 of the family's 1533-position model. The record is from RNAcentral.